GGGGAAUAUUGGGCAAUGGAGGAAACUCUGACCCAGCGACGCCGCGUGCGGGAUGAAGGCCUUCGGGUUGUAAACCGCUUUCAGUAGGGAAGAAGCGAAAGUGACGGUACCUACAGAAGAAGCACCGGCUAACUAUGUGCCAGCAGCCGCGGUAAUACAUAGGGUGCAAGCGUUGUCCGGAAUUAUUGGGCGUAAAGAGCUCGUAGGUGGUUCGUUACGUCGGAUGUGAAAAUCUGGGGCUCAACCCCAGACCUGCAUCCGAUACGGGCCGAGCUAGAGUUUGGUAGGGGAGACUGGAAUUCCUGGUGUAGCGGUGGAAUGCGCAGAUAUCAGGAGGAACACCAAUGGCGAAGGCAGGUCUCUGGGCCAAUACUGACACUGAGGAGCGAAAGCGUGGGGAGCGAACAGGAU
This 411-nucleotide ribosomal RNA is filed under the name actinobacterium SCGC AAA028-B13. RNAcentral describes it as "bacterial SSU rRNA". It matches the Rfam family "Bacterial small subunit ribosomal RNA", at positions 356 to 778 of the family's 1533-position model. The record is from RNAcentral. Lineage: Bacteria; Bacillati; Actinomycetota; Actinomycetes.